RNAcentral lists this ribosomal RNA (443 nucleotides) under uncultured bacterium. RNAcentral describes it as "partial 16S ribosomal RNA". It matches the Rfam family "Bacterial small subunit ribosomal RNA", at positions 338 to 795 of the family's 1533-position model. The record is from RNAcentral.
CCUACGGGGGGCUGCAGUGGGGAAUAUUUGGCAAUGGGCGCAAGCCUGACCCAGCAACGCCGCGUGAAGGAAGAAGGCUUUCGGGUUGUAAACUUCUUUUCUCAGGGACGAAGCAAGUGACGGUACCUGAGGAAUAAGCCACGGCUAACUACGUGCCAGCAGCCGCGGUAAUACGUAGGUGGCAAGCGUUAUCCGGAUGUACUGGGUGUAAGGGGCGUGUAGGCGGGAAAGCAAGUCAGAUGUGAAAACCAUGGGCUCAACCUGUGGCCUGCAUUUGAAACUGUUUUUCUUGAGUACUGGAGAGGCAGACGGAAUUCCUAGUGUAGCGGUGAAAUGCGUAGAUAUUAGGAGGAACACCAGUGGCGAAGGCGGUCUGCUGGACAGCAACUGACGCUGAGGCGCGAAGGCGUGGGGAGCAAACGGGAUUAGAUACCCCAGUAGUC